GGUUAAGCGACUAAGCGUACACGGUGGAUGCCCUGGCAGUCAGAGGCGAUGAAGGACGUGCUAAUCUGCGAAAAGCGCCGGCGAGGUGAUAUGAACCCUUGACCCGGCGAUGUCCGAAUGGGGAAACCCAGUGCAAUCCGUUGCACUAUCGUUAACUGAAUACAUAGGUUAACGAGGCGAACCGGGGGAACUGAAACAUCUAAGUACCCCGAGGAAAAGAAAUCAACCGAGAUUCCCCCAGUAGCGGCGAGCGAACGGGGAGCAGCCCGGAGUCUGAAUCAGCUUGUGUGUUAGUGGAACGGUCUGGAAAGUCCGACGGUACAGGGUGAUAGUCCCGUACACGAAAGCACACUUGCUGUGAACUCGAAGAGUAGGGCGGGACACGUGGUAUCCUGUCUGAAUAUGGGGGGACCAUCCUCCAAGGCUAAAUACUCCUGACUGACCGAUAGUGAACCAGUACCGUGAGGGAAAGGCGAAAAGAACCCCGGCGAGGGGAGUGAAAAAGAACCUGAAACCGUGUACGUACAAGCAGUGGGAGCCUCUUUAUGGGGUGACUGCGUACCUUUUGUAUAAUGGGUCAGCGACUUAUAUUCUGUAGCAAGGUUAACCGUAUAGGGGAGCCGAAGGGAAACCGAGUCUUAACUGGGCGUUAAGUUGCAGGGUAUAGACCCGAAACCCGGUGAUCUAGCCAUGGGCAGGUUGAAGGUUGGGUAACACUAACUGGAGGACCGAACCGACUAAUGUUGAAAAAUUAGCGGAUGACCUGUGGCUGGGGGUGAAAGGCCAAUCAAACCGGGAGAUAGCUGGUUCUCCCCGAAAGCUAUUUAGGUAGCGCCUCGUGAACUCAUCUUCGGGGGUAGAGCACUGUUUCGGCUAGGGGGCCAUCCCGGCUUACCAACCCGAUGCAAACUACGAAUACCGAAGAAUGUUAUCACGGGAGACACACGGCGGGUGCUAACGUCCGUCGUGAAGAGGGAAACAACCCAGACCGCCAGCUAAGGUCCCAAAGUCAUGGUUAAGUGGGAAACGAUGUGGGAAGGCACAGACAGCCAGGAUGUUGGCUUAGAAGCAGCCAUCAUUUAAAGAAAGCGUAAUAGCUCACUGGUCGAGUCGGCCUGCGCGGAAGAUGUAACGGGGCUAAACCAUGCACCGAAGCUGCGGCAGCGACACUAUGUGUUGUUGGGUAGGGGAGCGUUCUGUAAGCCGUUGAAGGUGUGCUGUGAGGCAUGCUGGAGGUAUCAGAAGUGCGAAUGCUGACAUAAGUAACGAUAAAGCGGGUGAAAAGCCCGCUCGCCGGAAGACCAAGGGUUCCUGUCCAACGUUAAUCGGGGCAGGGUGAGUCGACCCCUAAGGCGAGGCCGAAAGGCGUAGUCGAUGGGAAACAGGUUAAUAUUCCUGUACUUGGUGUUACUGCGAAGGGGGGACGGAGAAGGCUAUGUCAGCCGGGCGACGGUUGUCCCGGUUUAAGCAUGUAGGCGGAGGUUCCAGGUAAAUCCGGUACCUUUUAACGCUGAGGUGUGAUGACGAGGCACUACGGUGCUGAAGUGAUAAAUGCCCUGCUUCCAGGAAAAGCCUCUAAGCAUCAGGUAACACGAAAUCGUACCCCAAACCGACACAGGUGGUCAGGUAGAGAAUACCAAGGCGCUUGAGAGAACUCGGGUGAAGGAACUAGGCAAAAUGGUGCCGUAACUUCGGGAGAAGGCACGCUGAUGUGUAGGUGAAGCCCCUGCGGGUGGAGCUGAAAUCAGUCGAAGAUACCAGCUGGCUGCAACUGUUUAUUAAAAACACAGCACUGUGCAAACACGAAAGUGGACGUAUACGGUGUGACGCCUGCCCGGUGCCGGAAGGUUAAUUGAUGGGGUUAGCGGCAACGCGAAGCUCUUGAUCGAAGCCCCGGUAAACGGCGGCCGUAACUAUAACGGUCCUAAGGUAGCGAAAUUCCUUGUCGGGUAAGUUCCGACCUGCACGAAUGGCGUAAUGAUGGCCAGGCUGUCUCCACCCGAGACUCAGUGAAAUUGAACUCGCUGUGAAGAUGCAGUGUACCCGCGGCAAGACGGAAAGACCCCGUGAACCUUUACUAUAGCUUGACACUGAACACUGGUCCUUGAUGUGUAGGAUAGGUGGGAGGCUUUGAAGCGUGGACGCCAGUCUGCGUGGAGCCAACCUUGAAAUACCACCCUUUAAUGGCUGGUGUUCUAACGUAGACCCGUAAUCCGGGUUGCGGACAGUGUCUGGUGGGUAGUUUGACUGGGGCGGUCUCCUCCCAAAGAGUAACGGAGGAGCACGAAGGUUGGCUAAUCCUGGUCGGACAUCAGGAGGUUAGUGCAAUGGCAUAAGCCAGCUUGACUGCGAGCGUGACGGCGCGAGCAGGUGCGAAAGCAGGUCAUAGUGAUCCGGUGGUUCUGAAUGGAAGGGCCAUCGCUCAACGGAUAAAAGGUACUCCGGGGAUAACAGGCUGAUACCGCCCAAGAGUUCAUAUCGACGGCGGUGUUUGGCACCUCGAUGUCGGCUCAUCACAUCCUGGGGCUGAAGUAGGUCCCAAGGGUAUGGCUGUUCGCCAUUUAAAGUGGUACGCGAGCUGGGUUUAGAACGUCGUGAGACAGUUCGGUCCCUAUCUGCCGUGGGCGCUGGAGAAUUGAGGGGGGCUGCUCCUAGUACGAGAGGACCGGAGUGGACGCAUCACUGGUGUUCGGGUUGUCAUGCCAAUGGCACUGCCCGGUAGCUAAAUGCGGAAGAGAUAAGUGCUGAAAGCAUCUAAGCACGAAACUUGCCCCGAGAUGAGUUCUCCCUGAGACUUUAAGUCUCCUGAAGGAACGUUGAAGACGACGACGUUGAUAGGUCGGGUGUGUAAGCGCAGCGAUGCGUUGAGCUAACCGAUACUAAUGAACCGUGAGGCUUAACCUU
This 2904-nucleotide ribosomal RNA is filed under the name Enterobacter hormaechei. RNAcentral describes it as "23S ribosomal RNA". It matches the Rfam family "Bacterial large subunit ribosomal RNA". RNAcentral also lists the same sequence under 1 other name. The record is from RNAcentral. Lineage: Bacteria; Pseudomonadati; Pseudomonadota; Gammaproteobacteria; Enterobacterales; Enterobacteriaceae.